This is a long non-coding RNA of Microplitis mediator, 1786 nucleotides long. RefSeq lists it as uncharacterized. The record is from RefSeq and is a predicted model, not a curated record. NCBI's taxonomy places the organism in Eukaryota, Metazoa, Arthropoda, Insecta, Hymenoptera, Braconidae. The transcript is spliced from 3 exons.
UUGUUAAUUCUGCCGGUAUAACCUAACAGCUGAUUCGAAACUCGGAAAUUUUAUUCCCGAACGUGUCAAAACAUCAGUGAUUUUAUAAUUUUUGUCAAUUAUUGUUUCGGUUAUUUUAUCCGUAAAAUUUUGUUUCAAAUAAAAUUUGAAUUUCGCGCAGAUUGCAGCGUACUACAGUAUUAUUAUUCAAACAAGAUAGAAAAUAUCUUAAAAUGAAACAGUAUCGAUUUGUUACGAUAACGGGUGUAGUCGAUCAAAAUAGCUGUUCUGUCAAAGGAUUAACUGAUGAAGAACGUUACCAAGAGCUAUCGCAUUUGGAAUUUUCUUCCUUCGACGAUCAUUACCAUCACAAUAUGAUCGAGGUUAUGAACCAUCUAGGAAGCCUCGGGUAUAAACUAGUUUCCCAAAAUUCAAAUAAAGAUUAUACACAAACUAUUUGGUUGCAAAAAGAAUUAUAAAGUUCCAAUAGACCUGAAGACUUGAACACUAAAUGACAAAAAUUAUUUUAUAAGAUAAUAUUUAUAUCUUUUUUAAAAUGACGGAAAGUAUUUUUUUAAAUUUUAAAUUAAUUUUUAUAAAACGGGUGUAUAUAAUGUUUCAAAUAAUUUUUUAUAUUAUUUUUCAUGAUACCAGCAUCGAAACUUGAAGUUUCAGUGUCUAGAGCCAGUCGAAAAAAGCGAAUUUCAGUCUAAUGGAGGAGAAUAUUAGCAGACACGUAAAUUGUGAAUGCCGGUCAGCGGGCAGAAACAAACGUUUCGACCCUUGGGAAAAAACAAAUAAUGUUUCUGCCCGCUGACUGAAGGCUUUCGCAAUUUAAACUCUGAUACUUGUCAUUGUUUAAUAGACAGAAAAAAAGGAUUUGGCGUAAGAAAUAUUUUGCAUUCUAAAUUGAAGACUAGAAUUUUCUUAGGACUAGAAAAAAUUUAUUGGCGCAAGAAUUUUUUUAUCGCCUUAAAAAAAUUUUUUCUUGCUCCAAGAAAAUUUUUGUUGUCAAUUUAUAAUGCAAAAAAUUUAUUGAGACGAGUAAAAAUUUUAUUGGGACGAGUAAAAAUUUUUUGCGCCAAGAUAGUAUUUAUAGUUUCUGCUUAAUUAUAAAUUGCAAAUGACAAUUUACACUUACGCUAACAGUCGGUCUUACCCUGAUUAAAAAAAAAUGAUUUGAAAUGAUUUAAAAUAAUUUGAAUCGACUAAUAUAUAGAUAUACACUUAGCAUGGAUUAAAUCAUUUUUCUUAAUAAGGGUAAAUAACUUGUUUCUAAUUGGCUGCUGACACUGAAACUUUAAUGUCCAAUGCAGGUAAUCAUGAAAAAUCUAAUGUGUAACUCAGAAUGAAACACGAUUUCAAACUGUGGGUGAUGCCAGUCAACUUCACCCCGGUAUGAAAUCGUUUUGUUUCAUCUCUUGUCACACAAUAUACCAUUACAUAAAAAAUCGUAUCUAUGAUUAUACGAAUUACAGAAAACUAUUCUAAUAUAUUUUGGCUAUCCAAAUAUUAUAAAAAAUAUUUAUUUUUUUAUAAAAAGAAAGGUUGGGUAAUUUGGAAGUUCACUAUAAAAAACGUUUUUGGGAUAUUGUUUUUUUUUCUAUACAAAGUAGAAAAAUGUCUAUACAUAUAAAAAAAUAAUGCCGAUUGAAGUUUACUUUUACAAAAUUUUGAAAUUGAGCAAUCUACCAAUCAAAAUCAUGGUUUAUUUUAAUUUUUGUGACAAUAAUUUAUAUAAAUAUUUAGUGAGAUGAAUCAUGUAAUAAAUAAGCAAUAGUAAUAAUACAUCUGCAAGUAUUUUAAU